Molecule: transfer RNA, 75 nt
Filed under: Pseudomonadota bacterium
Lineage: Bacteria; Pseudomonadati; Pseudomonadota
Description: Proteobacteria bacterium tRNA-Glu
Rfam family: tRNA
About the family: Transfer RNA (tRNA) molecules are approximately 80 nucleotides in length. Their secondary structure includes four short double-helical elements and three loops (D, anti-codon, and T loops).
Source: RNAcentral
GACCCAUUAGUUUAAUGGUUAGAACACCAGCCUUUCAAGCUGAAGACCAGGGUUCAAUUCCCUGAUGGGUUACUA